RNAcentral lists this transfer RNA (77 nucleotides) under Acidobacteriota bacterium. RNAcentral describes it as "tRNA-Met". It matches the Rfam family "tRNA". From Rfam's summary of the family: Transfer RNA (tRNA) molecules are approximately 80 nucleotides in length. Lineage: Bacteria; Pseudomonadati; Acidobacteriota. RNAcentral also lists the same sequence under 3 other names. The record is from RNAcentral.
CGCGGGGUGGAGCAGUCUGGUAGCUCGACGGGCUCAUAACCCGUAGGUCGCAGGUUCAAAUCCUGCCCCCGCUACCA